UACGUAGGCAGCGAGCGUUGUUCGGAAUUACUGGGCGUAAAGAGUGUGUAGGCGGUGUUCCCAGUCUGUUGUGAAAUCUCCCGGCUUAACUGGGAGGGUGCAGCGGAAACUAGAAUGCUAGAGGGUGGGAGAGGUAAGCGGAAUUCCUGGUGUAGCGGUGAAAUGCGUAGAUAUCGGGAGGAACACCUGUGGCGAAAGCGGCGCACUGGACCAUAACUGACGCUGAGGCGCGAAAGCUAGGGGAGCAAACAGG
Molecule: ribosomal RNA, 253 nt
Filed under: uncultured bacterium
Lineage: Bacteria
Description: partial 16S ribosomal RNA
Rfam family: Bacterial small subunit ribosomal RNA
Source: RNAcentral